Non-coding RNA from Heterocephalus glaber (naked mole-rat), 893 nucleotides. The record is from RefSeq and is a predicted model, not a curated record. NCBI's taxonomy places the organism in Eukaryota, Metazoa, Chordata, Mammalia, Rodentia, Bathyergidae.
UGAAAUAAGACAUGAACCCUCUGUCACCCCGGAUUUUAACCGAUUUGUGUCUCUAUUUUUCAUCCCCGUCAGCCCUUGGUCAGUUCUGAGCAUCUGCAUCACCACACCCUUCUUCCAUGAUAUUUCUGCCUUGGAGCCAGCCAAGCAUGGACUGAAUUCCCUGAAACUUGAUGCAAGACAGAAAUAUAUGAACUGAAAGCCACCAAAGAGUGUAUUCAAUUCAUUGUAAUAAUUUCUGAAGGUUGUGUUAAGAAAAGACAGACUGGAAAAUAUGACUGCAGACAAUAUGGCUCUAAUAAGUGUUUUUCAUUGUUAGUCUUUGUGAUGUGAGUUAUUUAAUCUACCUUGUCUGUGUUUUGAAAGGUUUCCCAGUUGCUUCUAAAGAAAAGUUCAAGUAAAGCAAAGUGGUUUAACUUUAGUAUAUUCUAGGCUCAAUUGUAUGCAUUUCAUCCUAAAGAAGACUUUGAUUUUAAAUGUCCAAUGGUAGGUUGGUUACUUCCAAAUAGGAAUGAUUUUUUGCUCCCAAAGCAAAAGCCUAUUAAAUGUUACUAUGUAUCUAUAUUCCACGUGAACUUUAUUUUUACUGUUUCUCUUCAGUUUCUAAAGCUAAAGGAAGAGCUCUCAUGUUGCACCUUUGUAUUGAGAUAGUGAUAGAGCAAUAAAAGCUCUUGCCUUUGCCACCCCUUCACCAUGUUUUUAAAAAAUGUUUUGUUCCAGAAAUGUAACUCUUUGAGCUGCAUGGUGUUCCUGCCCAAUAUAUCAAAAUGUUCUGUAACUGUUUGAGCAUGAUCGCCUAGUACAGAUUUCAGGUAUAUUCUGUGACUGUGCCCUCCGCCUUCUGUGAGCAUGCUUACCUGGCAUGUGCCCCCCACCCUACUCUGUAGAUCUCUAUA